Molecule: ribosomal RNA, 117 nt
Filed under: Faecalibacterium prausnitzii
Lineage: Bacteria; Bacillati; Bacillota; Clostridia; Eubacteriales; Oscillospiraceae
Also listed under: 9 other names
Source: RNAcentral
GUUGGUGUUUUUAACGGUGAGGGUCCACCCGUUCCCAUUCCGAACACGGAAGUUAAGCUCACCAGUGCCGACAAUACUUGUCUGGAGACGGACCGGGAAGAUAGGUCAAUGCCAACA